CUCUGCUGAAGUUUUGUAAGUGAGCCCGAGAUAUGGAGUUUUGUGAACAGACCAGAAUUUACAAAUCUAAAACUGUGGGCCUGGGUUCACUCUCAGAGUUAGCUACCAAAGGACAUCCUGAAAUUACAAUGACCAUCAUUUAAAUGGAACCCCAGCUGACUUGCAGUAGGCCUGCUUUGCAUAUUUCUUUCACAACAGAAUUCAACUCGACCAUUAGAGGCAUUCUUACAUACGUUUUGCACAUAUCCAGUUACUGGCUGUGCUGUGAAACUGUGGGCUCUCCAAAGUCUGUGUGGCUGACUUUGCAAGUUCAGGUUUGGUUUGGAGCAGUGAAGAUGAUCAGUAGAAUCAUAGAAUGACUUGGGUAGAAAGGGACAACCCAAGAUUGUCAAGUUGCAACCCCCUGCCACAGGCGGGUCUGCCAACCACUAGAUUAAAGUACUAGAGCAAAUUGCAAGGAGCCUCAUCCAACCUGGCCUCAAACACAUCCAAUACUUUUUGUAUCCCCCACUGGGACUGAAAUCUGGAUGCUCGCAGAGAGAUUCAAGCCUCUUCUGCUAGAAUUAAUGUAAGAAUAUCAAGAGGAUAAAAGACAGUGAAAGGAAUGAAGCACUAGGAUGAAUCUGUUCAGAGACAGCUGAGGAAGAAGCUGGAAAAAAAAAGAAUCACUGAAAAGACUGGAUCCUGUGAGGCAGUAGCUGAAUACAGGAUGAGCUGUUGUAAAGACAGAGUGGGAAUCCAGAGGACAGCAGGAAGUGCUUGAUUGGUACAGAGGAGCAGCUUUGUCGCAGGUUAGAUAGGACUCUGUGGGGUGGGGAGCGUCAGGAGUAUCAUAAGUGUAGCUAAUUGAACUGAACCUAGAGGAACUACCAACAUGAAUCAUUUUUUUUCUUGAACAGGUAUUCAGCAUCAACUUGUAAGCCAAAUUACAACCUAAAAGGAUAAUUAGUGUAUCUGACUCUACUGAAAUGUCACAGUUUUAAUAUUGGCUUGCAGUGAGUCUAGUCUUCUUGAGCAGUGUUGGUUGGAGUUCUCUUUUUUUGGGUCGUUUCCUCUGGUAGUACUUAAACCUUGUGAAGAACUUUCUAAAAGGAUCAGAGGAAUGGCCUGUUGGAUACUAUGGAGAAUUUUCCUGCAUGUCAUGUUGCACUGCUAAGCAACCCCCACUCUGUGCUUCUGAUCAGGGGAGCCCUGCUGUGACAAGCCUUUCAGGAACAAAAUAACGUAAUGGGUUGUGCAGGUUUUCAUCUAGAACUGGCUUCAGGUAUUUAAAAAUAUUUAAAGUGUUUUAAAGAAAAUGCUGGGAAAUUCAUAUCGAAAUUGCCAUGCGGCAAUCAGCUCAUGCCAGUUAUUUUGUUAGUGAAAUGAAAUGCAGAACAAGCAAGCUUUCGAGUUUGAUUUUGUUUCAGUCUGUCUGGAGAACAUGGUGUCAAGUGCCCAUUUUUCUUUUAAGAGUAGCCUUAAAGACUUGAUUACUCUUUGAUCCUAGUAUUGUCUUGAAGGUAGUUCAAAGUUAUAAGGAGUUAUGUAUGCUGUAUCCUAAUGAAAUGCUUGUCUGAAAUUGUACUGAUAGCCUGCUGUGAAAAAAUCAAUUUGCCAUCAGCAAACUGAAUGUACUUGAUGCUCAAUUUAGUUCACCCGAGUAUUUCAUGUUCUUUCCCUAUGGUAAAACAAAAGGGUCCUGAGAAUUAAUUACAGCACUAGCAUCUGCUCGUGGCAGCUUUGCUGAUAGACUUCGUAGAAGAAGAUAGUUAAAGAGUGAGGGAGAUGGAGUGUGAAGUUUUACCAGUGCUAUUUCUUAUGCAAAUACAUUUAAAUAACAGACCUCUUUUCCUGUACAUAUUUUUCUUUUUGCAGUGGACUAUUCACUUGCAUACAAAACCAGAAGAUAUCAAUUGCUUCAAAGUAAUUUGUGUUAUGCCAAUUUUGGUUUAUUUUUUGUUUGUUUGUUUGUUUGUUUUUUGUGGUACAUACUUCCUAUACAAUUUUUGGCUGUGCGAUGAAGCACUUGUUAUCUCUAUGCUGGUAAUAAUAGUUUUUCCUUUAAAGUAAAUUUCUAACCUUAUUGGAGGUCAAUAGAUGAAUGAGAAUCUGCUGAAAUUACAGGUUCUUGAGAUUCCUGACUGAAUCCUGUAGUAGAGUAAUUCUGGCCUGCUGUGCCAAGUACACUGUGGAACAACCUUGAAUGCUGGACAAGCAUAUUUUUAUGUUGUGCAAAAUCUCCAUUGGCAGUUUUGUCUUUUUUAGCAUUAAAACGAUGGUUCACUAAUGUGCCACCCCAAGCUGGAAUUUUAUUCCCUUGAGCAUAGGUGGAAUGUAACAUGAGUACAAGGUGCAGCACAAGCCCACAGGGUAUUGGUAAUUUUGGGAUUUCAAUAUUCUGUAAUUUUGCAACUUAACGUGUAUCCAGGUAAAUAAAUCUUCACUCACCUGAUGUAGGAAUCAGAUCCUGGUUCAGCUGAAAGACCUCAAGGUAUAAAUUCCCUUUCUUGGAAUGCCUGAGAAAGCAUGAUCUCUCAAACCCAAGAAGAGAUACUCAUUCUUAACUUCUCUAUGUUUUCUGUCACGUUGGGUUUGAAAGGUGUUCAUUCAUACCACUGUAGUUUGGAGGGAAUCAUCUUAGGUUUCUGUAGGAGAGUGCCUCAAAUUUGGUAUUAUCAUAAAACAUGACGUUGCCAGUAAUGGUAACAGAUUCAUUCUCGUUUGCACUGGGGAAAAAUUUCAGUUUGUAUCAUUGUAAUAAAAAAGUUUAGUGAAGAAGAACAGGUCCAUUGUGUUCAAUAACUUGUUACUUGAAAAAGGAAAAUGAUGAUCAGAACUACUGAGAAUUCUAAAUGCUUCUAAUAUUUGUUUCAUAAUUUCUGAUAAGCUGUAAGCAGAAAUGGCAAAAUGGCAUAUAGUGCUUUCUUGUCUGCAGGUGUAAUAUGCACCUCUUUGACUUCAGAAAAUUUGCUUGUGGACUAUUAAUUGCUUGUACGUUUUGACUGGUAAGUCAUCAUCAAAACAAAGACAACCCAAACUCGUUAGAUUGAACUUUUUCUUCUUGAAGACAUUUGGAUAACCUUUAUCGUGUCCUUUGCUAACUUUAUUCUUUUCUAUACAUGCUUAUAACGUUAUCUUUAAUGUUUCAGCUUUUAUAUUGGAUACAAUUCUUAAUUUUAUCUCCAUUAAAUUGCUGUAUACCAAUGCUUUUAACAUUUUAACUCAUCUUAAAAAAAUGUUGAAGCAUUACCUGGCAGUGGCUAAACACAGGAAUAGUUAAUACUGAAGAGAAAAGGGAAAUACUUCAAUUAUGUUUUCUUAAAUUAAUACUUUUAUAAAACUGUGGUAACAUAGUGUGACAUUCAAUGUCGACAGCUGCGCAUCUUACUUCUUUUGUCAACGCAUAUUUUAACUAAGGGUGAAAGAGUGGGUCUUAGCUACAUAUUGGUCUAUUGAAAAGCAUUUCUGUAUUUUCUUUGUGUGCUUUAUUAGAACAUUCUGUGGCAUAACAUUUAUAGUCCUAUACGUAUAUCACAGUUCUUGAGAGAACAUAUUCUUUGAUAGCCAUUUGGAGCAAGCAUGUACACUAAUUAAUACCUGUUUGGUCAAAUGCUUUGCGUAAUUCUUGAUUAUGUCUAGAGAAAACUCUUGAGAAUAAAGGAUGGUCUAAGUGAAACAAAUAUACAGCUGAACUAUUAGAAGCCCUGGUAAUAAAAAAAAGCACGUAUCUAAAUGUCAGAACUGGGCUGCACAACUCCAUUCUUUUCUGCUUGUCAAAAAAAGAACUACAGUUGUGCAAAGGAGGAGAUAAUAAAUACCAGGAAAGCUAGGAAGUCACUUUUUUUCUAAAGACUGGAUUGAUCAAAUCCUUCGCACCUACGUUUGAGAGAGUAGAAUUUGCUUUUUGUAUGUAGAAACAUUACUGAAAUUAGCAAUUACUGAAAUCAUUGUACUCUCACCACUGUAUCCCAAUUUGCAAGUAUUUGUUUAGCAUGUAUCAUAAGUGUGCAGUUUUUAACGGAAUAAAGAGAUUUUGAUUAUUUAAGCUUUUUAAGAUUGUAAUAUAUAUGGACUGUUACACGUUAUUAUUAAAAAUAUUCUAUUUCAUAUAGAAAAUGCUGGUGU
Lagopus muta (rock ptarmigan) is the source of this 4107-nucleotide long non-coding RNA. RefSeq lists it as uncharacterized. The record is from RefSeq and is a predicted model, not a curated record. Lineage: Eukaryota; Metazoa; Chordata; Aves; Galliformes; Phasianidae. The transcript has 3 exons.